This is a non-coding RNA of Chiloscyllium plagiosum (whitespotted bambooshark), 4692 nucleotides long. NCBI's taxonomy places the organism in Eukaryota, Metazoa, Chordata, Chondrichthyes, Orectolobiformes, Hemiscylliidae. The record is from RefSeq and is a predicted model, not a curated record.
AUUUUUUGAACAGUAAGGGAAUUAAGGGAUAUGGUGAGAAGGUGGGUAAGUGGAACUGAGGCCAUGAUUAUCUUGAAAUGUGGAAUGGGCUGGAAGGGCCAGUGGCCAACUCCUGCUCCUGGUUCUUAUGUUCUGUGAAUUAAUAAUGAGAAAAGAUGCCUAUGAGAUGUAUUCAUGGAAAUCCCAAACCCUUCAGAGAGUAACCUUACCAUGUGACUUGGGAUUGGAGUUCUGCUUAGGUUGACAUUGGGGAAAGAAUAUAGACAACUUUUUGAUUACUUUGUAUUGUGCAGAGACUCUCAAAAUAUAUGAGAACUCAGUGAGGAAACAGUGUACAAACUAAAGGAUUUUCCUUUUACCAAAGUAAAGGAGAGCCAAUAGAUCCUCAAAUUUAACAAAGCACACCAGGAUAAUGCAUUUCUCAAUGAUUCGGCCAUUUUCUUUUUCAGGGUGUCAUGAAUUAGCAUGGAUUUCACUGCUUUGGGCUGUAAAUAUUAUUUUGUAAUUAUUUCAUUUCUGUACUGCCUUUCACAUACCCAUGGUCUGGACUCAAGAUCCUGAUGAUGAGACAAAUUCCAGGUCCCAAACCCCUGUAAUGACUGCAUUGGUUGUCAUGUACAAUGUUGGAAUGACUGGCCAUUCAGUGACUGAGGUUUGCUUUUGCUGAUGUCUUGAAGUUGGCAGAUAUGGUCCUGAAGCUGGAGGACCUUUGACCCCGAACAAUUGGGAACUGCGCCAUUGGAGCUUAUAUAACUGGGAGAGAAGUAAUGACGUUUCGCAAUCGAAAUGCUCUCUGAAGACUUCUUCAUGAAGCUGGUUACAGCUGCCAGGCUGCUGCUGUGAGGGAGUUUUGAUAUACAGGGGUGCCUCAGCAGUGACCAGCUCAUAAUGUCAGCUAGACAUAAUGUCUAGCUUCAACAAAACUGGAACAUAAUGUUCAAGACUCGAGUUUUGCCAAAAUGCAGCCUCUACCCUGCCUGUUCUUCUGCAUCUGGGAGGUUUGUUUCUGUACAUUAACUGAAUUUCAGCUUCGAGAGGCUUCUGCCACACAGGUUCAAAUAUUGACCCUGAGUGAUCCUUCAGUUGCCUCAAUGAUCUAUGCCUGCUUUUAGGCAGGUAGCUUAUAAAAUGGGGGAGAUACCAGGCUGUAGAGGGGGUCGCCUCCAUUCUCCCUCUCCAAAGCUUCAAUGCCAACUGCCUGCCCCUCUUCUGCAGUUAUAAUGUGUCCAUCAAUGCUCUUAAUGCCUUUCAAGAGAGGUGGCACAGUGGGGGGGAUAAAGUGCUUUAUUUCCCCCUCUAAUACUAUGUUGAUUUAGUCCACUCCCUCUCUCUCUCUAUCCCCCACCCUCACAUUUUGAUAUAAGCAUUGCCCUUAAUAGGCUUUGCUUGUAAAUAUUCAGUUGGCCACAUGGGUAUUUUCCUGAUGGUGGAGAGAGAAAAAAAUAUAGACAGUUAGCUGUCACCCAGCCCUGAAGCAGCAUGUUUCGAAAUAGUCCAGAAGUGAGAAAAUGCCAGCAAACUGGCACGCCAGCUGUUUACAGAAAUUCAUGAUCUCUACCAUUACAACCCUCCCAAGACUGAAAAUAUUACCCAGGUUGUCCCAAAGUGUUUUACAGCUAAUUGACUAUGUUUGACAUCGUCAAUCUGGUAAGAAACGUAGCAGCCAAUUUUCAUGCAAAGAUCUCCCCACCAACAGUGUGAUACUAACUAUAUUUUUCUUGUAUUUUUUUCAAGAGAUGUGGGCUUUGCUGGCUGGGUGGCUCUAUUGCCAACCACUAACUGUCCUUGAGAAGCUGAUGAUGAGCUUCCUUCUUGAACCACCACUGUCUGUUUGGCGAUAUUAAUCGAGCAAUGAAUGCUAGGGAGAACUUCCCUGAUCUCAGAUGGGAUUUUCAAUGGUCCCCCAAGAGUCUAGUUGGAAACAGCUUAAUAUCUCAUCUAAGUCAAGUCCAUGGCAUGUGAAUUAAACAAAUUACUUUGUAACAAAGCUGAGGGUGUUGUCCACUGCACUACAACUGCUACCUGUGGCUAACACUCUCUAGUGGCUGUAGUCCUGCAUGAAGCAACAUUGAUAUAUUAAUAGGGUUAGUAAAUGAUAAGAAAGUUGAAUGUUAUUCAUCCACUUCCCAUUAGCCUAAUGAGGCCAAUUUACAAUUCUGUGAAUUUAUGGACAAAAUAACUAAGCUAAUGUCAAAUGGAAUUUUACAAAACUGGGCCUUAAAACUGCUUUCAAAACAAAAAAAAAUUGCCUGUUUCCUGUUUUAGGGAUGCUACAAAGAAAUUUACAACCAAUUAAUUACUUUUGAAGUGUAGCCAGUUUUAUGUAGGCAAAAGUGACAUUCAGUGUUGCCCAGAAAACCUCCAAAAAUAUCAAAUAAGAUAAAUGGUCAAACAAUAAUCUUGUUUUAGUGACAUUAUUUAAGGGAGAAAUGUUAGCCAGUUAACCUACCUAAAUUCCUAUGUCCUUCAAAUUGAUAUUUUAUGUCAAACCAGUUGGGUAGAGGCUUUGGUCUAAUGUCUUACUCAGAAAAUACUAUCACCAAAAAUGUUGUAAUUCCCCAGUAGGAUAUGGAGGUUUCAAUCUCUAUUGUGUGUUCGAUCCAAGUGUGGUUGAACCCAGAACCUUCUGAUCAAUGAGAUGUGAAUCAAAUUUUCAUGGUCUAGUGAGUACAGCAUGGCACUGGAGUUUUAGCUUCCAAUGUCUUUUAAGGUAAUUGUAAACCAAUAAGUUGGAAUCAAGAGAGGAUCAUUGCACUACUGUGUGUGCGUGUGUGUGUUGAAUGUUGAAAUCAUUGGGAUGGUGUUGAUGGAGAGAGGAACAAACACUGUCUGCCUGUUUUAAACUGCCUCUUCUGACUCUCUUGGACAUAAGGGACCUAUCUGAAGAUAUGACCAAAGCUUAUAGUACUGUAUUAUAAAAAAAAAGUGUAAUUUUGGUUACACUCUAGAUACUGCUAGAUCUGUUGAGUUUUUCCUGCAGCUUCUGUUUUUUCUUGUUGACACUUAUGGCAUUGUGAUUGGAAAUGUACAUUAUAUUGGAGUGGUGUAUUGAUACUCUGAUAGAUCUUAAUAUUGUCACAAUUAUUCAAAUUGUCUUUGUAAUAUUAUUAAAUAAUUCCUUAUCACAAAACCAAUCAAUUCCUGUUUACCACUUUAGCUUGUUUGACAGUGUUAUUUACAAAUUACUUGGCCAUGAAUUGGGGUGGAAAUUAUUCAUCCCUUUCUCUUUGUUGACAAAAGUAAAAUUAUAUUGGUUCCAAGUGUCUGUAAUAUUUGCCUCUCUCAAGAGAAUGAUUCUACAUAUCAGAAUAUAGUGUUAAUAAUAAAAUGUUAUGGUCUCUGUUGGAUGUGUUCAGAAUUGUGGAGAAAGACUUUGAACUUAAUAUGAUUGUGUGUGUUUAAGAUUGAGAUUUCUGAACUUUAAGAAGCCAACACCAAAAAUGCAGACUAUUUUUGUUAGUAAAAGACAACUGCGAUCUGUAGCUGUUGAUUUGUCUAUUUUUAACGUGAGAAAGGUGCUGCUUCUAAUUGUGUUUUCUCUUCCAGCGUAUCCAUCAGGAUUAUCAGAACAUCCUUGUCUUUGGAUUUGGAGAGUUAUUCUGGAAAAUAAGAAUCAUGGUGUGGAACACAGUGAAAGACACAAGGUGCACAAAUCUUUAUUCGGUUUAUGAUGCAGCGUGCAAUCUAAUGAUUGGUCACUCACCUCUAUCCUCAAACACCCACUUGAAUCCUGGCCGUCACAUGGGGCAGCUGCCUUCUUAACCAGGCUCAGCCUGGAGACUGGCAGCUGAGGGAGAAGGCCUCUGCCACUAAUCGUUGAAUGAGCCAGACAUGCCUCCACACCAGCCUGGGGUCUCCUGGCAAGCAAGGAACAGGUUCCAGGCUGACUCCCCUGCCCUAGACUCGCAGGCCGGGCUGAGGCUGCAGGUCUGCAGCUAGGCCUGGGUGCCUGAAGAAGUAGGAGUGUUGGUGAAAGGGAUGGACAAUGGAUUGGCGGCAGCUUCUGGAGGAUUGGAAACAGGAGACUAUGUUCACCGAUGAGGCAGCUUCCAGUGGAGGGAAGUCUCGGCUUGGUACGUUGGUUUCCUGGUGUGGUGGUUUCGUCUCUGUGUGGAGGUCUUUAGAUAUUCCUGCAGCCCAGCAGACAGUCUCAGCCAGGAGUGGCGGUCUCUGCCUGCCAUGGUGGUCUUCAUCGGUGAGGGCUAAUCGCCCAGUUUUCCAAUGGGCCUGACUUGGUAAUCUUGUCCCAGCAUGGAGUCAGGGUUUUUCAUCGUUUCCUAAUUGGUUUUACCCGAGCCCAGGAGCUGUUAACUGAUCUGUGAUGAAUUUAUCUUAAUUUUACUUUUUGAAAAAUUCUGUCUGACUCCUGUCAGUAAUAGAGGUACUGUGGUAGGGUGACUUUUAAAACUUUUCACUCUAUUUUCAUGUAAAAGUACAUGGGACAAUAAAUUUCUAUUCUAUUUUCCAUACCUCCUCUUGUUGACAGGCAUUCUCAAAGAAUUGUGUCCCUUCAUGCAGGAGUUUCCUUCAAGGUAGUUUCUUCUGAAGCAAGGUCUCCUAUGCAUUGCCACCUAUGUUGCAUUUCAUCGACGUGAAGGGAGUCUUUGAAAUGCUUCUUUUGUCCUCUUAUCCAAGUAUGGCAGGACUACCUUACGCUGAAAGACUGGAGCGACUGGGCUUGUAUACCCUUGA